CUUUAUCUGUAACGUGCAUGGACUUGAGGCGUUUUGCCAUUGAUUGCUCGUUUCCCAGAAAACAUUGGGAAAAUCCCACAUGUGUCAGAGUCAGGCCUUUGUCCGGACUUGGCCCGAGUGAUAGUUUCUUGUCUGUCUUCUGGGCAUAACUGCCUGAUAGGUUUGAAUGCAGAAACCACAGCCAACCUGCAGGGUUUACGUAGCAGCUGCUACGGGACCAGCUCCGGGCUUCCCUUGAUUUGUCGGUGAUCCCAGCGUGUGGAUAUCCACAUCCACCUUUUGCUGGAGUGAAGUCUGGCCAGAAGUUAAGGCGCUGGCUCCUGCUCAUGCACCCUGCAGAAGGGGAAGAGGACUUAGACUCAGAAGCCCAGGGUUGCUUUGUCAACGCUGUUCUACCUCUGAUCUCUGAUGCCCAUGGUGCAUGCCUGUAGGUACUGCCCGCUUCUCUCUGAUGAAAGAACAAAAUGGGUUGAAAAAAUCUCCGUCUUGGAGGAAAGGUUGAUGUAGACGACUCAAUGAGCCCUGAACUUCUUGAAGAUGAAAGUCAUCUCCAACCUUGGCCUUUCUGGCCUGUCAUAUGUCUCCGCUGGUCCAGGAGCAGCUGCUUGGCACCUGCUGCUCAAGAUUCUGUCUUCCUCACUAUCGAUGGCUGAGCUGUCCACUGCACUGGACUGUACACUGCAGACAACCAGGUUUUAUCUGAGAGCUCUCCUUCAAGAGAUUAUCUGCAAAAGAAUCCCCCAUCAGGCUUUGAACUUCAGAAACCAGACACAGUAUUAUAAGACAGCUCAAUGCAUGGUGGGCAGGGUAGAGAGAGGACUACUGCUUAAGACACCUGGGAAAACUUCGCAGAGCAAGGCUACUUGCAUUUUAUUCUGAAGAACACAUUGGAGUAAGGAUGGUAGGCAAGGGCUGAUAUACGUUAAGUACCUAUGAAGACCACACACGUCAUAGCUACUCAAGAUUAAUUUACACCCCUCUUUUCUCAAUGUAAGCAAGUAAACUACAGCAACAAAGCCAUCAGAAUGCGAAGGAGCAUGGCAUUGUCAGAGAAUGCUGGAAAGUUUCAUUGCCUGGAGUUCAAGGAGCCUGGUGGGGACUUGAAGGAGAGCUGGGUCCCUAAGGAAUCUAUGCACAGUGCUUUUUCCUGUGUACAUGGAGAGCCAGAAGAGGUAUUAAAUCAGGAGGAUGAUAUUGGAUAUCGUUUGAAAGGAUGCUUCUGGCAGCAGUGGGAGGAUGGAUUGGACGGUCUUUGAAAUAGUCAAGACAGAAGAAGCUUCAGAGAUAGAGAUGAUCACUUAUCAGAAUCGAGGUUUUGGAGUCAGGGAUAUAUUCAAGGGGUUUUGAAAAGAAUAACUCCUCAGCAUGAAGUGACCAAUAGAGAGGGAGCAAGGGGCCACUAUAACAGUGAAUGACAAUAUUCUGGCAGGUGGCAUUGAUAAAAUAUGAAACCUGAAUGAGGAAUAUUCCAUUAACUCUUGUGGUAAAAAGAUAAUUCUAAUGAAUGGUGCCACCCAAGUAAGACAUAUAUUAUCCUCUUCUUUGAAACCUCUGUGUAACUUAAGACAUCGCUGUUGUAUUUAAAAGAAUGCAUUAUUGGGAGCUCCAGCAGAAGGUCAACAUUCAUUAGCAACCCUACAAUAAUAGCCAACAAGUGUGAAGAGAGAGCCUGCAAUUGAGGAAAACAAUUUCAGUUAGAAAAUAGACUCUCAUUUUCUAGCAUCACAAGGUUAUUACAGCAACCAGAAAAUGAAAACACUUUUAUUUUUUAAGUUUAUGAAAAAGUGCUCACCACCACCACCACCACCACCACUACUGACAGUCCAGCCAGGAAAGCACCUUCAGCUAAUGUCACCUUCUCUUCUCUGAACUUAAAUAAGACAAACAGCUAGCAAGCAACAAAGAAGAUGGG
Molecule: long non-coding RNA, 1912 nt
Filed under: Mustela putorius furo (domestic ferret)
Lineage: Eukaryota; Metazoa; Chordata; Mammalia; Carnivora; Mustelidae
Description: lncRNA (ENSMPUG00000030392.1)
Source: RNAcentral